UACGUAGGUGGCAAGCGUUGUCCGGAAUUAUUGGGCGUAAAGCGCGCGCAGGUGGUUUCUUAAGUCUGACGUGAAAGCCCACGGCUCAACCGUGGAGGGUCAUUGGAAACUGGGGAACUUGAGUGCAGAAGAGGAAAGUGGAAUUCCAAGUGUAGCGGUGAAAUGCGUAGAGAUUUGGAGGAACACCAGUGGCGAAGGCGACUUUCUGGUCUGUAACUGACACUGAGGCGCGAAAGCGUGGGGAGCGAACAGG
Molecule: ribosomal RNA, 253 nt
Filed under: uncultured bacterium
Lineage: Bacteria
Description: partial 16S ribosomal RNA
Rfam family: Bacterial small subunit ribosomal RNA
Source: RNAcentral